This 492-nucleotide ribosomal RNA is filed under the name uncultured bacterium. RNAcentral describes it as "partial 16S ribosomal RNA". It matches the Rfam family "Bacterial small subunit ribosomal RNA", at positions 28 to 507 of the family's 1533-position model. The record is from RNAcentral.
GUUGAACGCUGGCGGCAUGCUUUACACAUGCAAGUCGAACGGUAACACUCCUUCUUGUGCUGACGAGUGGCGAACGGGUGAGUAAUGCAUCGGAAGGUGCCCAGAGGUGGGGGAUGAGGCAGCGAAAGGUGAGCUAAUACCGCAUGUGAUCGGAGGAUGAAAGCGGGGGACCAGGGGGCAAUGUUUGGCCUCGCGCCUUUGGAGCGGGCGAUUUCGGAUUAGGUAGUUGGUGGGGUAAAGGCCUACCAAGCCGACGAUCUGGAUCCGGUGUGAGAGGCAGACAAGCCACACUGGGACUGAGACACGGCCCAUAGUCCUACGGGAGGCAGCAGUGGGGAAUUUUGGACAAUGGGCGCAAGCCUGAUCCAGCAAUGCCGCGUGUGGGAAGAAGGCCUUCGGGUUGUAAACCGCUUUUGUACGGAACGAAAAGCAUCUGGCUAAUACCUGGGGCUGAUGACGGUACCGUAAGAAUAAGCACCGGCUAACUACGUG